This 427-nucleotide ribosomal RNA is filed under the name uncultured bacterium. RNAcentral describes it as "partial 16S ribosomal RNA". It matches the Rfam family "Bacterial small subunit ribosomal RNA", at positions 354 to 796 of the family's 1533-position model. The record is from RNAcentral.
GUGGGGAAUAUUGGGCAAUGGGGGCAACCCUGACCCAGCGACGCCGCGUGAGGGAAGACGGCCUUCGGGUUGUAAACCUCUUUUGUACGGGAAGAAGGAAGUGACGGUACUGUACGAAUAAGUCCCGGCUAACUACGUGCCAGCAGCCGCGGUAAUACGUAGGGGACGAGCGUUGUCCGGAAUUACUGGGCGUAAAGGGCGCGCAGGCUGUGCUGCAAGUCAGCUGUGAAAUGUCUGGGCUUAACCCGGGCAUGCGGUUGAGACUGCAGUGCUGGAGUGCUGUAGAGGCAAGUGGAAUUCCCAGUGUAGCGGUGAAAUGCGUAGAUAUUGGGAAGAACACCGGUGGCGAAGGCGACUUGCUGGCCAGCAACUGACGCUGAGGCGCGAAAGCCAGGGGAGCAAACGGGAUUAGAAACCCUGGUAGUCC